UGGGGAAUUUUGGACAAUGGGCGAAAGCCUGAUCCAGCAAUGCCGCGUGUGUGAAGAAGGCCUUCGGGUUGUAAAGCACUUUUGUCCGGAAAGAAAUCCUUGGCUCUAAUACAGUCGGGGGAUGACGGUACCGGAAGAAUAAGCACCGGCUAACUACGUGCCAGCAGCCGCGGUAAUACGUAGGGUGCAAGCGUUAAUCGGAAUUACUGGGCGUAAAGCGUGCGCAGGCGGUUUGCUAAGACCGAUGUGAAAUCCCCGGGCUCAACCUGGGAACUGCAUUGGUGACUGGCAGGCUAGAGUAUGGCAGAGGGGGGUAGAAUUCCACGUGUAGCAGUGAAAUGCGUAGAGAUGUGGAGGAAUACCGAUGGCGAAGGCAGCCCCCUGGGCCAAUACUGACGCUCAUGCACGAAAGCGUGGGGAGCAAAACAGGAUUAGAUACCCUGGUAGUCCACGCCCUAAAACGAUGUCAACUAGUUGUUGGGGGAUUCAUUUCCUUAGUAACGUAGCUAACGCGUGAAGUUGACCGCCUGGGGAGUACGGUCGCAAAGAUUAAAAACUCAAAGGAAUUGACGGGGUCAUAGCUGUUUCCU
RNAcentral lists this ribosomal RNA (590 nucleotides) under uncultured bacterium. RNAcentral describes it as "partial 16S ribosomal RNA". It matches the Rfam family "Bacterial small subunit ribosomal RNA", at positions 355 to 1375 of the family's 1533-position model. The record is from RNAcentral.